This 497-nucleotide ribosomal RNA is filed under the name uncultured bacterium. RNAcentral describes it as "partial 16S ribosomal RNA". It matches the Rfam family "Bacterial small subunit ribosomal RNA", at positions 28 to 507 of the family's 1533-position model. The record is from RNAcentral.
GAUGAACGCUGGCGGCGUGCCUAAUACAUGCAAGUCGAGCGAACAGACGAGGAGCUUGCUCCUCUGACGUUAGCGGCGGACGGGUGAGUAACACGUGGAUAACCUACCUAUAAGAUUGGGAUAACUUCGGGAAACCGGAGCUAAUACCGGAUAAUAUAUUGAACCGCAUGGUUCAAUAGUGAAAGACGGUUUUGCUGUCACUUCUAGAUGGAUCCGCGCCGCAUUAGCUAGUUGUUGAGGUAGCGGCUUACCAAGGCGACGAUGCGUAGCCGACCUGAGAGGGUGAUCGCCCACACUGGAACUGAAACACGGUCCAGACUCCUACGGGAGGCAGCAGUAGCGAAUCUUCCGCAAUGGGCGAAAGCCUGACGGAGCAACGCCGCGUGAGUGAUGAAGGUCUUCGGAUCGUAAAGAUCUGUUAUUAGGGAAGAACAAAUGUGUAAGUAACUAUACACGUCUUGACGGUACCUGAUCAGAAAGCCACGGCUAACUACGUG